UACCUUUUGUAAACAAAUGAAAAUCAUCUAAGUGUGUCACAGUUGGUCCUGUGACACUUGGGGGUUUCUUCCUUUUUUUUUCCCUGUGGUGUUCUGUGGCACGUGUGGGUGUGUCUUUCACUUGGCAGGGAGCUGAUCACCCGGCGAGGCUACACACCUGUUGCCAAUCCUCAUCUACACCUGGCCUUAAGAUGUGGAACUCCAUAAAACUCAUCGCCAGAUUACUCCUAGCCAUCGCAUGUUACCAAAUCCGGUGUGUUUUAGUCCUGCUUGGAGGAUCUUUAGGAGAGCUGAUUGCCACUGCCCAGGACGGCCUGCCCCUGCUCACAUCUCACCUACUACCACUCUGUACUACUAGUUCCUCAGUUCUUUGUAAAUAAACUCUUUACUUUAA
Molecule: long non-coding RNA, 394 nt
Organism: Micropterus salmoides (largemouth bass)
Lineage: Eukaryota; Metazoa; Chordata; Actinopteri; Centrarchiformes; Centrarchidae
Exons: 2
Source: RefSeq, a predicted model, not a curated record